This is a long non-coding RNA of Humulus lupulus (European hop), 522 nucleotides long. RefSeq lists it as uncharacterized. NCBI's taxonomy places the organism in Eukaryota, Viridiplantae, Streptophyta, Magnoliopsida, Rosales, Cannabaceae. The transcript has 2 exons. The record is from RefSeq and is a predicted model, not a curated record.
CUUUCUUCCCUCUCGUCUCAUGUGUUUGGCUUGUGCGUUUUUUAUCCUGCAUUUGGCUUUUGGGUAUGGUCGAAAGUGUCUUCGAUGGAAGCAUGGUGGCGGGGCUUGUGCAGCAAGGUGAGGCUGCGAUGGUGGUUCUCCCUUGACGUUGGUAGGGAGAAGAAAUGGAGAGGGAAAGAAGUCGGGGAGCUUGGUCGUGAAGGUACAACCAUGAGGCUUUGUUGGACUUCACCUAUAGGUGGAUGUCGGAGAUGGGGAUCGAGGUUGGGGUCGUAGAUCUAGGCGUCAGAGAUGGGGAUCACGCCUUGGAUUUAACUUUCUUGGUUUUUUUUGGUGAGUUAAUUUUGGGUUUGCUUGAAUCUAGGAUUUCGUGAAUCUAAGUUGGAUAUUUGAUUGAAACUAAGCUUUGGUAUUUGCUUGAAAUUUAUGGGUUUUUUUUUUCAAUUAUGUAAAAAAAAUUCUAGUAAAUGUUGUAUAAGUUGAAUUUAUGUGAAUUUGAGUUGAUACAUUUUUCUUGGGAUA